Pongo pygmaeus (Bornean orangutan) is the source of this 1170-nucleotide long non-coding RNA. RefSeq lists it as uncharacterized. The transcript is spliced from 3 exons. Lineage: Eukaryota; Metazoa; Chordata; Mammalia; Primates; Hominidae. The record is from RefSeq and is a predicted model, not a curated record.
GGAAAAGAGUGAAAGGCGAACCAAAGACCAUAAGCCACUUCUCUAUGUUUCCUGUAAAUGCUAGGGUGUCUAUUAUUCUGCAUAGUGGGGCACAUUAAGCAAAUUCUCCUUUUUCAGGAUGGCUGAAGCUGAAUUUCUGUUUAUUUUUGCUUAUGCAUCUCUGUUAAACCAGGAUCAUAUCCUCAACCCCCAAAGAGGAGCAGGCCACCUUUGCCAUCACGCUCAGCCUGGUCACCAGCCUGAGGCUUACCCAGUCACCCAGAUCUUCCCCUCACCUUGCUCCUGGAGUGUAGAAAUUCCACAUUCUCUUUCAUCUGGCUCCUGACAUCACUUCUCCAUAUUGACUGUGGGGCUCUUUUUCGGCUUGGAUUUUUCUCUUUGUUAAGACCCCGUGGGACCACAGAAAGAAGAAAAUAGUCAUGCAGGGGAGCUUACUUCCUAACUUCCUCAGCUGAUAUUGUUGGUUACAUCUGCAACCAUCCUGCAAUACGGUGUAGCACUGGCAUCAUGUGUGAGAUUCGUCCCCUUAUGUGAAUAAGUCUAAUGACAGUACUGCUGUUGAUGAUCAAAUAUAUAUCAGGAAGCUAAGUGAAAGCCUCCUCAGGAUAUAAUACUGAUGGAAAAUGACUGGCCUGAGGAAACACUAGAUUUCGUUAAUCGUCAUCUAAUUGCUAUGCUAAAGAGUUCUGGCCGGGUAUGGUGGCUCACACCUGUAAUCUCAGCAUUUUGGGAGGCUGAUGUGGGAAGAUCCCUUGAACCCAGGAGUUUGAGAGACCAGACUGGGCAAUAUAGUGAGAUCCUGUCUCUACAAAAACUAAAAAACUGAAAAAUAAAAUUAGUCAGGUAUGGUGGUGUGUACCUGUAGUUCCACCUACUUAGGAGGCUGAGGAGAGAGGAUCACUUGAGCUUGAGCUCGAGAGAUCAAGGCUACAGUGAGCUGUGAUCACACCACUGCACUCCAGCCUGGGCAACAGAGAUCCUGUCUCUAAAACCAAAACAAAACAAUAGUUCUUCACAAGUGUAUCACAAGAUAUAGAUGGUAGUAGAACAAGUUAUCACAUCAGGACAAAAAUAUGAAAAUGUAUGUAAUGACUUUCUAGAUAGAUAAGUUGUUUCUUUUUUAAAAUUUAAUUUUAAUUGAAAAUAAAAAUUUUAUAUAUUUGUUGUGAA